RNAcentral lists this ribosomal RNA (477 nucleotides) under uncultured bacterium. Its description in RNAcentral is "bacterial SSU rRNA". It matches the Rfam family "Bacterial small subunit ribosomal RNA", at positions 365 to 832 of the family's 1533-position model. The record is from RNAcentral.
UUCGCAAUGCCCGAAAGGGUGACGAAGCGACGCCGCGUGCGGGAAGAAGGCCUUCGGGUUGUAAACCGCUGUCGGGAGUUAGGAAAUGCAAGGAUGUUAAUAGCGUCUUUGCUUGACUAAGGCUCCGGAGGAAGCCACGGCUAACUCUGUGCCAGCAGCCGUGGUAAUACAGAGGCGGCAAGCGUUGUUCGGAAUUAUUGGGCGUAAAGAGCACGUAGGCGGCCGUGUAAGUCGGUUGUGAAAGCCUUCCGCUCAACGGGAGAACGGUAUCCGAUACUGCAUGGCUCGAGUGCGGGAGGGGAGAGUGGAACUUCUGGUGGAGCGGUGAAAUGCGUAGAUAUCAGAAGGAACACCGGCGGCGAAGGCGACUCUCUGGCCCGUAACUGACGCUGAGUGUGCGAAAGCUAGGGGAGCAAACGGGAUUAGAUACCCCGGUAGUCCUAGCCGUAAACGAUGGGCACUAAGUAGAGGGGUUUU